Megalopta genalis is the source of this 2079-nucleotide non-coding RNA. The record is from RefSeq and is a predicted model, not a curated record. NCBI's taxonomy places the organism in Eukaryota, Metazoa, Arthropoda, Insecta, Hymenoptera, Halictidae.
CCCAGGCCUCGCGUAGGUUAACGUCCGGAAGUAGUUCCGGUGCGAUGAACAGGCCAGAUGUCGCCGAAACCGCGAUCCGGAAACGAUGAUCGGUGCCGACACUAAUUUAUUAAUUUAUGCCGAAGAAGACGCGCACACGCCCAAGCCCGGCAACGGUGACGUAACUGUAAACACAACACUGGGAGGAACGAAGGAAAUUGCUUGAUCGAAGAAAUCUGUAUUAAUUGGUUCUCCGCUUUAGUUGUUUUUUUUCUACUUCAGUAUCGCGUGCGUAAUAUCGUUCAAAUUUCGUUUCAAACAUUUGGUUACAUCGUCAGAAAAUGUAACUACAAAUCUGAUUAGUGGAAUAACGGUUUCUUAGUUACCAAGUUCGGUAAACACACAUUUCUAACGCACCGAGAACAAUUUGCAGAUUUUUAACAAUGACUCAACCACAAAUUCGGUGCCGUGACGAAACCGGUGGAGCUGUGUCAACGUUAUAACAACGUCGAUAAACAAACAACUAACAUGCGCGAUGAGAGACACGCACCUUCCGGUGGCAUAUCCUCACCGUCUAAAAAAAUCCGAUGCCCCCAACGACUAAUUUCGGUCGAUGGCGAUCGACAAAUCAGGAUUAAAUACCACGUUUAUCAAUAUAAACGAUGCGACACGCAAGCGAUUACAUUAUCUGGUGUAAUAACACUUCCACGUACUGAAUUAUUGACGUGGAAAGACAGUGUGAUCUUCGGAGAUGUACGAAGAAAGAAACGUCCGGUAUGCCGUCUCGGCUCGGCUCGGCUCGACAUUGUCACGACGCCGGACAGAUUUUCAGUAGGAAGCGAAAUUAGGUCAGCAACAUAUAGGGCGUCUUGACAGGUGAACAAAACCAUUCAUGGAAUACCGUGUAGCGGAAAUUAAGGCGCUACAAACGAACGCGCACGAAUGAUAUCGCGAUCUUAUUUCGGAGGAUGGAAAUGAGAAUAAUAGAAUGGGACCGUGUACGCGUCCGACGUAAGGUAGUCGGCCUGAUCGCGCGAAAAACGUAAGAAGUGGCCGUGUCAGCGAGACCGCACAAGAAAAGAACGUUUCAUUUGAUCGUAGAGUGGGCAGGUUCAUCGCUGGAAUCGAUGCUGCCGCACUCUUAGGCUGCGAUUGUUCCGGCGAGAACGAUCGCAAAUAAAUGACGAACGGUGUCCGUCAAUUUGUUGAAACACGAACAACGUUCGAACGGUGUCGCGACCGUGAGUUCAGGCACGCUUAACGAAGAAUUCAAACGAAGAGAAAUCGGGGAAGCUUAAAGGCGGCACACGCCAUUUUUAUCCCCGGAGUGUUAGCCGUCACGAGACAACCGAUCGUCGUGAAACACGAGAGCGGACGCGUUUUCGGAAUGAAAGCGAACGAAACUCUUCACUUACCUUCUCGUGAGGAUAGUCCGCGACACCGUUUUAUCCGAGUGCUCGCAUAAAAACCUGUCGAAGUACACCAAAAACCACCGAUUAACGAUCCACACAAACCCAUCCACACAGCCAACCGGCGCGCAACCGACUGAGCGCAUACGGCGUCGACCUACGCCAGCGUAGCUAGUCCCAGUCCUCGCCCACCAAUGGGAACUACGCGUGACAUUACGAACGCUACAUAUGUACAUACAUUGUACAACCUGCGAGUGCUGCAACACCUACGGCUGGAUGAAAUUUGAAGCGAUAUUAUUUGAAAAAAGAAAACUUUCACACUUCGUAAAUACUUAUUAGACUACUGAAAUUUAUUCCUAAAUUUACGUAAUCAUUAACAAACUUCGAACUACAACUACCAUCGAUAUUUCGUUUUAUCGCUAAAGAUAAUUUAUAAUAUGAAUAAAUUGUUAAACUUUGCUCGAGUUAUUCCAUGUACUGGUCAUAUAUUCUAUAAUGUAUUGGUAAUAAAAUGCAAAGAAAUUGAAUAAUCUUCCGAACGAUUGAAUUAUAUCUGCUAUGAGAAUAUUAAAUAUUUAAAAUAUAUAGUAAUGAGAAGAGUGGCAUAUACAUAUAGUGGCAUAUAUAUAUAUACAUUCAUUUAUUAUGUGAGAUACUGUCCAAAUAUAUAUAAUCUAUCUUAAAAUUGUAA